RNAcentral lists this transfer RNA (87 nucleotides) under Candidatus Peregrinibacteria bacterium. Its description in RNAcentral is "tRNA-Leu". It matches the Rfam family "tRNA". Rfam says of the family: Transfer RNA (tRNA) molecules are approximately 80 nucleotides in length. Their secondary structure includes four short double-helical elements and three loops (D, anti-codon, and T loops). The record is from RNAcentral. Lineage: Bacteria; Candidatus Peregrinibacteriota.
GCCCAGGUGGCGGAACCGGUAGACGCGCUGGAUUCAAAAUCCAGUUUUCCUUGGAAAGUGAGGGUUCAAGUCCCUCCCUGGGCACCA